This 450-nucleotide ribosomal RNA is filed under the name uncultured bacterium. Its description in RNAcentral is "bacterial SSU rRNA". It matches the Rfam family "Bacterial small subunit ribosomal RNA", at positions 354 to 796 of the family's 1533-position model. The record is from RNAcentral.
GUGGGGAAUAUUGGACAAUGGGCGAAAGCCUGAUCCAGCCAUGCCGCGUGUGUGAAGAAGGUCUUCGGAUUGUAAAGCACUUUAAGUUGGGAGGAAGGGCAGUAAGUUAAUACCUUGCUGUUUUGACGUUACCAACAGAAUAAGCACCGGCUAACUUCGUGCCAGCAGCCGCGGUAAUACGAAGGGUGCAAGCGUUAAUCGGAAUUACUGGGCGUAAAGCGCGCGUAGGUGGUUCAGCAAGUUGAAGGUGAAAUCCCCGGGCUCAACCUGGGAACUGCCUCCAAAACUAAUGAGCUAGAGUACGGUAGAGGGUAGUGGAAUUUCCUGUGUAGCGGUGAAAUGCGUAGAUAUAGGAAGGAACACCAGUGGCGAAGGCGACUACCUGGACUGAUACUGACACUGAGGUGCGAAAGCGAGGGGAGCAAAUGGGAUUAGAUACCCCGGUAGUCC